GGAUAGAGGCGCAGAUUUUAUCAGUAAAUUCAGGUUAUAAUGCCAAAUUUGUUUGAGCCUGUUUUGAAAGGAAAAUUUGCCGAAGGGAACAAAAGGGCAUUUGUUUACCUGGGGUUAUGUCGAAUAGGCAUAAAACUGUCAUCAAUUUUAUUGAUGGGGAGCUACCG
Molecule: non-coding RNA, 167 nt
Filed under: pig gut metagenome
Description: Lysine riboswitch
Rfam family: Lysine riboswitch aptamer
About the family: Riboswitches are metabolite binding domains within certain messenger RNAs that serve as precision sensors for their corresponding targets.
Source: RNAcentral